RNAcentral lists this ribosomal RNA (253 nucleotides) under uncultured bacterium. Its description in RNAcentral is "partial 16S ribosomal RNA". It matches the Rfam family "Bacterial small subunit ribosomal RNA", at positions 524 to 776 of the family's 1533-position model. The record is from RNAcentral.
UACGGGGGGGGUAAGCGUUGUUCGGAAUUACUGGGCGUAGAGGGCGCGUAGGCGGCCUACUAAGUCGAACGUGAAAUCCCUGGGCUCAACCCAGGAACUGCGUCCGAUACUGGAAGGCUUGAAUCCGGGAGAGGGAUGCGGAAUUCCAGGUGUAGCGGUGAAAUGCGUAGAUAUCUGGAGGAACACCGGUGGCGAAAGCGGCAUCCUGGACCGGUAUUGACGCUGAGGCGCGAAAGCCAGGGGAGCAAACGGG